Molecule: ribosomal RNA, 253 nt
Filed under: uncultured bacterium
Lineage: Bacteria
Description: partial 16S ribosomal RNA
Rfam family: Bacterial small subunit ribosomal RNA
Source: RNAcentral
UACGAAGGGGGCUAGCGUUGCUCGGAAUUACUGGGCGUAAAGGGCGCGUAGGCGGGCAUUUAAGUCAGAGGUCAAAUCCCAGGGCUCAACCUUGGAACUGCCUUUGAUACUGGAAGCCUAGAGUUCGGGAGAGGUGUGUGGAACGCCGAGUGUAGAGGUGAAAUUCGUAGAUAUUCGGCAGAACACCAGUGGCGAAGGCGACACACUGGCCCGAUACUGACGCUGAGGCGCGAAAGCGUGGGGAGCAAACAGG